Molecule: small nucleolar RNA, 95 nt
Organism: Panicum hallii
Lineage: Eukaryota; Viridiplantae; Streptophyta; Magnoliopsida; Poales; Poaceae
Product: small nucleolar RNA snoR31/Z110/Z27
Exons: 1
Source: RefSeq, a predicted model, not a curated record
UGUAUCAGAGGAUGAAACCUCGAAACAAUCUUAGGACACCUUCUGACACAGCGUUUCCGCUGUGGAUGAGAAGUCAAUUCUUUUCUGAUGAUACU